RNAcentral lists this long non-coding RNA (678 nucleotides) under Pogona vitticeps (central bearded dragon). RNAcentral describes it as "lncRNA (ENSPVIG00000010827.1)". The record is from RNAcentral. Lineage: Eukaryota; Metazoa; Chordata; Lepidosauria; Squamata; Agamidae.
AUGAGAGCGGGCGAGGUCCCGGGCGAGGAGGCGGGUCCCUUUCCUCUGAUUGGCCGCCGCCGAGCUCGGUGGGCGGAGCAGGAAGGCGAAGCCGAAGAGGAGAGUCCGGCUCCCCAUCCUCGCCCAAGUGCAUCGCGGCCUUGGCGCCCCGUGAAGGGGAGGAGGAGAAGGGGGGGCGCAGAAGAGGGAAAGAUCCGGCAAAGUCUCUCCGGAUCCCAGGCCGGGGGGGUCCAUGGAUCGGGCGCGGCGGGCCGGGAGAGCCCCGGGGUGCAGGAUUCCCGCGCUAGGCCGGCUCUUCCCAGCCGGAGAAGGGAUCCGAUCCGGAGCAAACCCAUUUACACGGAGCCACCGCGCUCUCCAGCUCCGCCUCGACUAAAAACUUCCUCCGGCUUCCUUAGCUGCGGAAUGACCUCCCUGUUCAUUGGUGGAGAAAUCGAACAGAAAAUUAAUCUGGUAAGGAAGCGUUUUGCUUUUUUAGAACCUGCAGCUGGAUUUUGUAUGGAUUGGGGAGGUGGGGGAAAAUAAGGCUGCCCCCGUCUCCCUUUUUAUCCUUCCUCCGACAGCUUGAAGAUCCGUCUUUUCAGGCAGGCUUUUAACAUUCAUGCUCGCGUCCCUGAAUGCCUUUUCAAAAGUUAAGAUGGCUUUUAAUGUUUACUUGCUUUUAAUUUUCAGUUGGAU